This 85-nucleotide transfer RNA is filed under the name Felis catus (domestic cat). It matches the Rfam family "tRNA". From Rfam's summary of the family: Transfer RNA (tRNA) molecules are approximately 80 nucleotides in length. Their secondary structure includes four short double-helical elements and three loops (D, anti-codon, and T loops). Lineage: Eukaryota; Metazoa; Chordata; Mammalia; Carnivora; Felidae. The record is from Rfam by way of RNAcentral. RNAcentral also lists the same sequence under 2 other names.
GCCUGGGUGGCUCAGUCAGUUGAGCUUCCGACUUCAGCUCAGGUCAUGAUCUUGCGGUCCGUGGGUUCGAGCCCCACAUCGGGCU